ACAUGUGUGGGAACAGGUGGACACAAUCAGGAAUCAGGGAAGACAAUCAGACUGGUGACACAUGAGGAAGGGCAAGCAACCUGAAACAAUAGGAGAGUUCAUUUCCAAAAUAAAACAGGAAGUCACAAAACAAACGUGGAGACAGGACAAAAACCCAACUUGACAUACAGGUGUGACAGUUUGUCAAACUUAACAGUACUUAAAAUAUUGCAUUUGAUAGUCUACUUAAGUUAAGAACACUUAUAUUAAAUUGGAGGAACUUGAAAUUGUGUCUGAAAAUAUCCAACAGCACCGAACAUUUUGUGUUGAGUAUACUCAAAAUAGCUUUGCAGCUGGUUGCUUAACUAUUAUGUUAAGUUUUCUCAACUUUUCAAAUUUCAUUGCCAAGUACACUCAAAAUCCGUUGCCAUGCUGCCUCUAUUUUUAAAUUUAAAAGUGUACACCGCUUUGGCAUAGAUGAGCCCAAUAAAUGGGAAACGCUAUUGAGAUGUCGCAUACAUCAUACGGGACAAUUCGUUGCUCAGUAACCAGGGCGAUGCUCGUUGUUGUUGGACUUGAGCGGACCGUUCCAACGUCACCUUCAACCACUGUGACGAGGUAGAACUCCCUGGACACAAGACUCCGGGUCUGUACUCUACAGAAAAACAAGCAUACAGAAAGUUUAAUAAAUAAUCCCCCCCUUUUUAAAUAUCCAAACCGACCCACGAUACUGCACAAUUAUUAGUGUCAGUGUAAAAGCACAAAAGGCAUCUUUUCAUUCAGUCCAUUUUAAAAUGUCUUGUUUCAGACUUAUGAUUUAGGUCCCAGCUCAAAUGUAAUUUAGAACCCCUGCUGUACCACAUUCCUAAACUACUGGUUGAUUACCUGUUGAUCCUCAUGUCCUUCCCAAGUGUUCCACUGUGUGAUCUGUACAGCUUAAUGAGCUGCAAUGAGCAUCAGAAGAUGACAGGAAGGUCUGCAUCAGGUCCACUCGUGUAACUUGAUUCUGAAAAACUCUGCACAGAUCUAAGAUGACAGGUUUCAUGUCAAAUGUAAUGUACAAUUGAUUAAAAUCUUAUUUUUGGAUCUUUCCAAAGAAGGGAGAACAUUUGGCAAAAUGUAUAUUUAACACAUAAAUGAAGGUCUCACUAGUAACAAAAAGAAAUGUCCUCCUGUCCUCCUUUUUUGGAGUUGCGCUGGGACUGAGCUGGGAGCCACGUACAAAGAGUGCUUACAACGUAGUAAUGUUGGCUUUAGUAAUUAAAGCCAAACCGCAAGACUUGGAUUGUCGUUAAAUGAAUACACAUGAAGUUAUGAACAGGUGAAAAGUCCCUUGCGUUGUAAGCAUGUUAAUUUUAACCCUUUCAUUAAAAAAAUGGUUUGCUGACUAACUAGUCAAGAACAAAAACAGUCUCGCGUGGCUUUGUAAAAUACAAACCCAUACAUUUGGUUGCUGCAGACUCUGGUUGAGGAAAUUUUUACUUUUACAAUAAAACAAUAGUUGCUUCGAAAGGAGGCGCUAACGCCUACUUUAACACCGUGAAAUCACCUGAAAAUAUUACACAAUCAUUUUUAUCAAUAGUUUAACGGAUAGUUAGCUAAAAACUGUCCAUAUCAGGAGACUGUCACGUUAUACAUACGUGUGUGUGUGUGUGUGCGCGCACACCAGCGUGUGUGCUUACUAACAUAUAUACCCAUGCCCACUGGCCUUAGUUACGUCAGAAAAUGUCCAACUAUACCAAGUUUUCUCUACUUAGAAGGUUUCAGUGUGUGUCAAUGCUAAGAGGGUAAUCUGUAUAUACUGUCAAAAGCCACCAACGCCACCUUAGGGAAUUUCACCCCAGGACUUAACAGGGACCACCAGUCUAUGGUCAACAACAGGACACAGGUUCGGACAACACAUACAGGCAUGUGAUUCCACAAACAAUAUUAUACAAGUUUAUUUUAAUAUCAAAUUAUGUUCUCAAUACAAUCACAAUCAUAAAAUCUCUCUGGUCCUCAGUCAUUCAGGUUGCCAUGGAAUGCAACAUACUGGAGGGGGGUGGGAGGGCUGAGGGUUCACCGGCGGAGAUGACUUGCUGAGGGGAAAGGAGCCCAAUGUUCCACCACACAUGAAAACAAAAACAAACCACACACCAACUAUUACAAUAUUACUAUACAACGAAAAAUGAAGAGAACCACCACCACCAGGAUCAGCCAGUCACUACUACCAGUGGCACCAACAGCUCCUGUUCAUCAAAACAAAAAUCAACCAUGAGUGAGCGAGUGAGGCAGGCAGGCACUUUAACAGCAGUUGGUCCACUUCCAAGUCUUUGGCCAGCAGAAGAUCACCUGCAACCAACAAAGUUGUUUUCUAUCAGGGAUCAUCACCUGCCAGGGAGCUCUGAGUUGACAGAAACAACCCGAUGAGCCCGCUGCACAGUCUUUGGAAAACAUAAAUUAAUAUUAGCUAUUUUUAAAGGGUAGUUUAUGGUGGUUUUCUUUUAUCAAAGCACAUCUGUCCGUCACUAUCCCAGAUCAUUCCCAUUUAGAAAUAGAAAAGUUAUGUACUUUCUGAUAUUAUUAAUCCAUUAUCUAUUUAUUGUAAAUAAACAACGUAUUUACUCAAGUGGUCUGUCGUAUUCUUUAAAGCAAUAACUAUAUCAAUUAAUUCACAUUUCAUAACCACUACAAAGACCUGGAUGACAAUGUUGUUGUUGAGGAAUAAACUGUGGCGACCUAAAGCGAAUGAUGAUCAAUUUACAUUAAGUUCUUUAUUGCGGAAUUUAAAAAAGUUUGCCGACAACCAUGACGUACGUCCAAAUAGACAACUCAAUAAGUCCAUUAUAAUUUUAUUAGAACAGCUCAUAGUUUUUGGUGGGAAGAGAAGGAUUGUGAUUAUGAACAUUUCAAGGGUUUUGGAUAAUACGGUGGUUAGUGUUUGUCUUUCGAGAUCUUAGCAUUUAUUUCGAUGAGAACAAUAGCGUUAGAAGUGAUGCCUAAAUAUGAGAAUUAAAAAAAUGGAAAAGGUUGUUCCAUUCGAUCAGUGGUUCUCAACUGGUCUGGCUCCGGGACCCACCAUCACCCCUUAAUGACAAGCCGCGACCCAAAUCGAGGAACAUUCUCAGCUUCUCGAAUUUAUUUAAUGAAAAUAUGGUGCAGUUUGAACCUGAGAUAGUAUGGAGACAGAAUAUGUAUGCCAACACAAAAACAAGUUGAAACAGCCAGCUGUUAAUUCUAAUUUUUAUUUUCCCAGGCAAAGACUCAUUAGAAAUGGGUCCGCGACCCACCGGUUGAGAAUGACUGCAUUAGAUAAUUAUUGUUUACAUUUACGAUUUGCGAUUAUUGAAGAAACUCUUAAGCGCAUUUCCAAUUCUAUAUAUUGUGUGUUGAAAGCCUCACACAAUAGUAUUGCAUUUUAUAGCUAUGAACAGAGAUAUUUUGGCAUACACCUGCUGUUUGUUUAUCAAAAACCAUAUGAGAUUUAGAAAAACUUAUUGAAUAUUAUUAGAAAUCAAUGUGUGAGUUUCGGGGAAAUAUUGUGAAGUGAAAAGAAAUUAUCAAGCAAAGGUUACAUUGAAAAGUGGUGCGGAUGUUCAGAUAAAGACAAAAAAAGAAAGAAGGCUAGAUGGGAACGAAAUUCAAAUUAAAGACCCCUCGAAGGUGUGCGCCUUAUUAAAUUCACUUUUUUUUCUCUACCUUUUAUUAUUGCCACAGCAGAUAAGCUAAUUUCUUUAGUUGAUUAGCUACCCUCCGCGCAAUGGCAAUACAUAAUACUGAGGAAAACACAAAUCAAAACAUUCAAAAUGCAACUGAUUAUUAGAAGGUGAAAUACAGACGAUGGACUGGGAUUAUCCAAGAAAAGCUAAUAGCACAGGCACUGCCUGCAUGGGUUUUGCUGGAGAACACCAGAAGGGUAUUCAUUUGUCUCACAAAAACAGGGAUAGCGCAAGAAUGAAAAAAAAUAAAAAGGGGAAUUACCGGGGAAUAGAGAGAAACAAGUCAAAAAACAUAACAGAGGUCUUUUGUAUUUCGGUGGCUCUCCCUCUGCACUGCCCGGCUGAAUUGCGGUGACCUAGAGCGAUUCUUUAACAAAUAAGAUUGCCUUUGUGUGCGCAUUUUUUUUCUGUUGACAUUUGCUAAGCGCUAGAGCUCCUGGCCAUGGGAGAUAGAUGAGGACCCUAAAAUGUCUGUGUAUCAGCCAGGGCCUUUCAUGUUACCUAGAGAGCAAUGGUUGUGUUUGUGGUGUGUGUGAGUGAGUGAGUGAGAGAGAGUGAGUAUCAUGAGGAGAGAGAGAAAAAGCAAUGUGAUUGCCGUUCAGUAGAUAUCCACCGAAGCUUUGUUUCUGACAGCGGUAAAGGUUAUUGCGGCCCAUUUCUCGCCCUGCUGUGUGUUGUGGGUGUGUGUGUGUGUGUGUGUGUGUACCACAUAGGGAAUCACUAGAGUGGACUAGGGCCAGUCAUAGCAAUAUGCGCUGGGGCGAUCAAAUCCACCUGACAUUACGCUUUGUCCCGCCUCUCGGCGUACAUUUACGGCAUCCACUUCGCAGGUCUGCUCCCACUUGACGUCGUUUUUCGGACCUGGACCUAAAGCGAUUUAGGAGUGAUACUUUCAAAGAAGCAAUAUUUUCCCAUACUUAUCCAAAACUUUUUAUUAAUAAAAUACAAUACUGUGUAGGGACUCUAAAAUGUAACACCAAUCAUAUUUCUUCAUCUGACCUUAUUAAAACGCAAUAUGUGGGUAAGUGAUGACCUUUCCUUUUGAUGCUAAACUGAGCUUAUAUAUAUAUUUUAGUGUAUUGGGCACUAUUAUUAAUGCACACUUUAAACAAAUAAGGUGCUUUUUAACAGCAGUAUUCUCUUAAAUAUCUAAACUUAAACCAAUUAAAUCAGAUACAAUAUGAAACCAAAGCCAUUUGCCACUGCCAGGGCAAUGUUUUAUGUAGAUUGUUAUAGAAAAACAAGUCCAUCCAAGCAACUACAAAUUAACUUUUAUACUUUUUUUUCUUUUUUUUUUUCUUUUAUCAGCGGGAAAAGUUUCUGCUUGAAGUUGUGGUAUUUGUUAUACAUGGAGGGACUAAGGACUCAGGGGGCAUUUAGGAGAGGGGAACAACCUGCAUGAGAACGGCAUGGCUGGGUUACCCGAAGAAAGUCCAAGCAGUUGGUCACGUCUUGUGUGUAUUUAUGAAACAAACACACUUCACAGUCUGGAAGAGAUUUAAAAUGAAAAGAGAUUGCUACCUUCCUCCAUUUCUUUCCUGUUCGGGUCCAUGUGAGCCGCUGCGGCCCAAUGCUCUUAUUAGUUAAAACGAGGGAUGAUGCCCAUAGUAAUCAAUAUUGCAUUCUGACUGUAUUCUCAGCCAGUAAGCAAUGGACUCAUGAAAAAAUCUGAAUAAAAAACCCCAUCUAGAUCUAUCUAGAUAUCUACAUUUAUUUGUAUAUAUAUAUAUAUAUAUAGAUAUGACAUUCUGUAUCUCCUCGGCUCCAAACUGGAAUUAGAAUAAAUAAAUUUAGCCCACUAACAACUCCAGGGGUUCAGUGGAAACAGAUCAAUUUAACAGAAACGUCAAACAGAAAUUCAAAGGCAAGACAGAAACAGUAAAAUUGUCAAGAUUUUUAUCAUAAUUUCUUCAUAACAUUCAACUAUAACAUGAAAGAUCGUUACUCAUUGCUUUGUAUAUAGACAUCUCAACAACAGUGUCGCACAGGUUUAUCCACUUUACUUUAAUAUUUUGUUUCACAAUAAUACAUUAUCUCUCAAAUUGUCGUGUACAGCAGCUCGCUUAGUGGCCCUGCACCUCAAACAUCUUCAGCUUCAUGUCACAUACACCUCACAUAAACGCGAAGGUAACACAAUUACUCAGUUAGUACUGAGCAAAAAUGUGGAACAGCAGGCUUCAUAAAGGAGGGAGUACAAACCAAUGAGUGACAUCGCAUUGUUACUGUCAUGUCCAGGAAGCGGCGUUAUCAGGUCGUCUCGUGUCUACAUUGUUUCGUGAUUUCCUGUUUUAUUUUGAAAAUGAACCUCCCUCUCGUUUCAGGCAACUUGCUCUUUCCCCAUGUGUGCCCUGUGUGUGUGUAUAUAUUGUCUGCGUCUCCCUUUGUCCUGUGCCAGUUCGUCUUGUCCCAAGUCAAAGAACCAGCGUAUACCAGCAUCCAUUGUCAAGGCUUUACCACGUUUUUUUGUAUCUUGUUCAGGCUUGCUUUCUGUUUGAUUCCUUUUUCAGCCUAGCGUUUAUUUUCUAGAUCCUUUUCGUUCUUAUAUUUAGUAAAGGUUUUUUUCCCUCGACCAAGAGUGAUUUUCAUUUCAGCGGCAUUUGGGUUCAGGGCCGUUGUCCGGUUUAUGAGACAGUUACAUUCAUGUCUCACAAACAAUUGGUAUUAAUGCCACCUAACUGACUCUUUUCCUCCCUGAUAAUCAGGACCACAAACACACAGAGAGCCUUCAGUUUACACUUCAAGCUGCCUUAUUUGAUGUGUUGGGAGGGGAAACA
Long non-coding RNA from Gasterosteus aculeatus aculeatus (three-spined stickleback), 6451 nucleotides. Lineage: Eukaryota; Metazoa; Chordata; Actinopteri; Perciformes; Gasterosteidae. The record is from Ensembl.